Molecule: long non-coding RNA, 2271 nt
Organism: Portunus trituberculatus (swimming crab)
Lineage: Eukaryota; Metazoa; Arthropoda; Malacostraca; Decapoda; Portunidae
Exons: 3
Source: RefSeq, a predicted model, not a curated record
ACCAAGAGUGGUUAGUUAGUUAUUACAGUGUCUUUAUGGCUAACAAGGGAGGGAGGAAGAGGGGGGAGGAGGAGGAGGAGGUGAAGCGGAAAGCAGUGAGGCACAAAGGAACGAUUUCUUUUACAGGCGUUGUGGAGGUAAGACGUGUGAGCCAAGAAAUGUUUCUGCAUAGUGCUUGUAACUAAUGUGAUUAACGUUGUAAGCUUUUAUUAUCUUGGUUUAGUGUUAUUCUUCUCGUGGCGUUGGUGUUGUAGGUAUGUUAGACACUGUACAGUGGUUCUGGUGUUGGUGUGUGUGCCUGACAUUUCGUGGAGUUCUUUUGUGUUUAUAGUGCAUUACGUUUAUUUAAUUAGUUAAUCCGCACUGGAAGUUGCCGUUCAGUAAUGAAAUAACGUUAGUGUUCUAUUAAUGGAAAGCGCCUCGUAACAUGUUUUAAGAAAAAAAGGUUAAGCGCAGCACAUGCUCACGACUCCGUGGCUUGGGUGUGCAUUGAUAGCGAGGCUGCAAGCCGCAAGGUACUGCUCGCAACCGUGGUGUAGGCGUGUCCACGACAGGGCUUGGGUGUGCAUUGAUAGCAAGGCUGCAAGGUGCUUUCAGUGGCUCUUUGGUCUCCUUAGUAUAUCUCUGCCUCCCCUCACUGAGCAGCGGCGUGGGUGUAGGCCAAGGUCUGUUACGAACUUGUACUGGUAUGAACUACGUGUAGGGUUGUUAGGUUAGUGGGAUAUUGGUAGGGUUGUUAGGUUAGUGGAAUAUUGCGUUGUGUGAGUGAGGUGUUGAGUGCCUUAACGUUUCAUCCCUGUUUCAUAGAUACUGUGAACCAGUGUACCGUUAAAUGUAAACCUCAAACAAGUAUUAGUGCUGAAACGUCACGGCACCCCACAUUUUGUUUAAUUAAUGUUUUUGAAUGAGUAAGGGUUUUGUGUGAAAGCUUUAAAAUGGCUGUGUAGUAAUAUUUUGUGGGCUGUAAAGUUAUCCAUGAUUGUCACUAUCUGGUGCAGUAAGUGUAAGAAUAAUCUAAUUGUACAUUUCGGCGUGUUGUGGUGCACAUGCUAGGUACAGCACCAUACUAGUGAAGUCUUAAGUAAUACACGCGGUUGCAUUGAAUUUGAUCAUAAUGUGCAAUUUGUUCCCAAAUCAAAGGGGUUUGAUUUGCCAUAAACAAUAACUUAAUGACACAGCAGGUGAAGGAGCAAGUGAAGGAUGUUUCUUGCGAUUGAUAUUAUAAUUGGUGACUUUGUUGCAGAAGUGUAUACAAGGGAGAAGGUCGGGUCAUGCCGGCCACCCCCUAAACGUGGGCUAAUAUGUCUCGGGCGUUAAUCAGGAGAUGGAGCACGUCCAGCCGCAUCGAGAAGUGGAGGAAUGUAGACAACUACAAGGAGACAAUGUGCAGCAGCAGAGCACCCAGACUGGAAAACCCGAGGAAGGAAGCGGAAGUACAGACGGAGAAGAAUGAAGACCAGCAGGAAGUAGUGGAAGUUGGAAGAGGAUGAUGUUCAUGAGCUACCGAUCCAAAGGCCUGGCACCGGAGUGAUUCCGAGCCACCUGUAGCAUAAAGAUGAAUAUCAAGCAAGUUUGACACCGGGCGUUCUUGUCUGCACAUUACCAUCUUGGUGUAGAACCACAUCUGUUUUACCCGAGCGAACUCGCCAAAUACAGCGGCGCUCGAGUCCGACCUGUACCCUCCCAAGAGAAGCCCCGGCAUCUUGCUACUACUCGUGUGUCCAUGUGAUAGCAGUCCAUUUCCAGGUCCUCCUCCGGUCCGGUCCGGCACAAGUAGGGGCUGGGCUGUUUCAAGUUCAUUGGAAGCGUCUUGCCGCCACUGAAUGGAGAACCAAACCAGCUUGUCCUAACCCCCGUCAGGAAACUGGCUCUUGCACUGGAAGACGCCAGCGUGUCUUAACCCCCGGCAGGAAACAGUCUCGCCGCACGUUCCACGGAGGAAUUAGAUCCUGCCUUCCACUAGCUCUGCCAUGACAUGGUGCCAUCCAGGGUGAGAGGACACUGCUUCGCUGCACCUUCCACGGAGGAAUUGGACCCUGGCCUGACAGCCCAUGGUGCCAUCCAGGGAGGGAAGACGCUGCCUCAUUGCACUUUCCAUGGAGGAAUUGGACCCUGCCCUGACAACCCAUGGUGCCACACGCGGGAGGACACACUGCCUCGCUGCACCUUCCACAGGAAUUUGACCCUGCCCUAACAACCCAUGGUGUCAUCCAGGGAUGGAUGACAGACUGCCUUGCUUCAUGUAACCUAACAAAUACACGUUGCCAAUCA